CGAGGCACCCAUAACAAAACCAAAGAAUGCUGCAGGAUUCUCCGGAUGUAGAAAUGAUAUUUUCACAUUUUUAUUUCCACUGAUCUCCUCUAGCAGUUUAACAUGAUUUAAAAACAUACCGUUAACCAGAGAUAUUGAAGCAGGGGGGAAGACAACAAAACAAAAUCCAUACAAAAUGGCGUCUACUCAUCAAGCACAACCAAAUCUACAGUCAUGUCUAGAUGGGAUACAGCUUGUGGAAUUGAAGUCCAAAGUAAUUUAACCUAAUUCUCCCAGCCUGCUACGUUAAUUCUUCCAACCUGCUUCGAAAACUACAUUUUGAUAAAAGCUGUAUCCCUUCUAGACCUAGGGGCUCUCAUUCGUUCCUACUUCCUCCCCUCCCGGGUGUACGUUUUGGGUUUUUGCCCUAGCGCAACACAGCCGAUUCAAAUGACCAACUCAUCAUCAAGCUUUGAUGAUUUGAAUCAGCUGUGUAGCUGGGCAAAAACCCAAAACGUACAGGAAGUAGGAAUGAAUGAGAACCCCUAGGUCAAGACAAUCACCACCUCCUCAUCGAUUCUUCUCGUUUUUAAAUAGGUUCAUAAAAAUACAAUAUUUUAAUGGAGGAUCUAGAACAGGGGUCUCCAACCCUGGUUCUGGAGAUACCCUCUCCAACCCUGGUUCUGGAGAUACCCUCUCCAACCCUGGUCCUGGAGAGACCCUCCUGUAGGUUUUAACUCCAACCCUGGUCCUGGAGAGAGACCCUCCUGUAGGUUUUAACUCCAACCCUGGUCCUGGAGAGAGACCCUCCUGUAGGUUUUAACUCCAACCCUGUUCCUGGAGAUACCCUCCUGUAGGUUUUAACUCCAACCCUGGUCCUGGAGAGAGACCCUCCUGUAGGUUUUAACUCCAACCCUGGUCCUGGAGAGAGACCCUCCUGUAGGUUUUAACUCCAACCCUGGUCCUGGAGAGACCCUCUCCAACCCUGUUCCUGGAGAGAGACUCUCCUGUAGGUUUUCACUCCAACCCUGUUCCUGGAGAGAGACCCUCCUGUAGGUUUUAACUCCAUUAAUAUCAGGUAGAUCAGGGUUGGAGCAAAAACCUACAAGACAGUAGGACUCCAAGAACAGGGUUGGAGAACCCCAUAGAGAUAGAUAGAUGACUCAUCUUUGUAUCUGUGCCAAGAUAGGUGAGCAGGGCCAUUUUGAAGUAGUACGUUUUCUUCUUCACGAUUGGCUGAUUCCUCCUGAUGACCCGGUUGGACUCCAACUUAAUUUAUUUAACUACAUAAAAAUGGUGUAAGUCCUCAAUGGCGCUGUCCAUGUUAAAUGGCCUUUUGGCCACUAGAGGCCUCUAUCAUUCUCUAUGGAGAACCUUGAUGUAGACUAGAGACGAGAUGUUUCAUAGAGGUCAGACUCCGAGGUCAUGGUUAGAGAGUUCAGAGGGGGAUUUCUCCAAACAAAAAAUGUCACACAGACUUUACGCAACUAACUUGACGUCGUGUCGUAGUUUACCACUGGGCUACGUUUCUGUUAUUACACAUGAUCAAACAACAGCAUCAACCACAUGAUCAAACAACAGCAUCAACCACAUGAUCAAACAACAGCAUCAACCACAUGAUCAACCACAUGAUCAACCAACAGCAUCAACCACAUGAUCAACCACAUGAUCAACCACAUGAUCAACCAACAGCAUCAACCACAUGAUCAAACAACAGCAUCAACCACAUGAUCAAACAACAGCAUCAACC
Long non-coding RNA from Oncorhynchus tshawytscha (Chinook salmon), 1729 nucleotides. Lineage: Eukaryota; Metazoa; Chordata; Actinopteri; Salmoniformes; Salmonidae. The record is from Ensembl.